This is a long non-coding RNA of Hemicordylus capensis (graceful crag lizard), 608 nucleotides long. RefSeq lists it as uncharacterized. Lineage: Eukaryota; Metazoa; Chordata; Lepidosauria; Squamata; Cordylidae. The record is from RefSeq and is a predicted model, not a curated record. The transcript has 3 exons.
UCACUGCUUCUAAACCCCUUUAAACCCCACCAGCACAGAUUGCGAAGGCAGAGAGAUUCCAUGGCUACUAAGGAGUGUGUCCUCACAUUUCCCAUUGCACUGGUGCUUUGUUAGUCAGGGUGUCAAACACUGUUCCUUGGGUAAAUAUUAAGGUAUUCCAUUGUAGAGUUUCUUUGUGGGAAUUAAUGUACAGUAUGCAGCAAUUUCACCAGUGUCCGCACACAAUCGGUUAUUUUUGCAUUGUUAUCUCCGAAGUCAUCUUAGCUCUUAGUUUCUUCUCUGAGGAGAAGACUAGUAACAAUGCUCCAGAUUUUAUUCUCUUUCAAGAUACAGCCUACAGUGUCAUUGAUUGUGGCAUCACUACCACCUACAAUGAGAUUAAAGCAAAUUUGAAAUGAUGAUGACCAAAUGGAAAGAAACCAACUUCCUCUGUUUGAAGUGGAAUAGCACAGAGUGGAGCAGAACUCUUCUACCCACCAUUAUCCUGAACGGCGAUUGGAGUCGCCAUGGAGCCUCCAAACAAGAGCGAAAUCACAGCAAGUUCCUGGACACAUUCAGAAGCCUCUGGAGCUGCCGCGAGGCAUCGUGGGAGUUGCAAAGAAAACCAC